CAAUAGCGUAUAUUAAAGUUGUUGCAGUUAAAAAGCUCGUAGUUGGAUUUCGGGAUGGCCCGGCCGGUCUGCCGCAAGGUAUGUUACUGGCCGAGCUGUUCUUCUUCGCAAAGACUGUGUGUGCUCUUAACUGAGUGUGCUCAGGAUCUGUGACGUUUACUUUGAAAAAAUUAGAGUGUUCAAAGCAAGCCAGCGCUUGAAUACAUAAGCAUGGAAUAAUGGAAUAGGACUUUGGUUCUAUUUUGUUGGUUUCUGGAACCUUAGUAAUGAUUAAGAGAGACAGUUGGGGGCAUUCGUAUCUCGUUGUCAGAGGUGAAAUUCUUGGAUUUACGAAAGACGAACUACUGCGAAAGCAUUUGCCAAGAAUGUUUUCAUUAA
This 378-nucleotide ribosomal RNA is filed under the name uncultured eukaryote. RNAcentral's name for it is "partial 18S ribosomal RNA". It matches the Rfam family "Eukaryotic small subunit ribosomal RNA", at positions 592 to 976 of the family's 1831-position model. The record is from RNAcentral.